This 15492-nucleotide long non-coding RNA is filed under the name Gossypium barbadense (sea-island cotton). RNAcentral describes it as "long non-coding RNA (GBAR_LNC012613)". The record is from RNAcentral. Lineage: Eukaryota; Viridiplantae; Streptophyta; Magnoliopsida; Malvales; Malvaceae.
AAAAAACAACAACCAUAGCUCAUUCUUCUGAGAAUGUAAUUGUCAAAAUUAAGAAACCCAUUUCUUAUUGACUGAAACCUAGAAACUAUCUAUUAUCAUAAAACAUUAACAAGAAGAAAAAUCCCACUUAAACUAUCCUAUUCUUUAAAAAGACCCCGCAAUUCAAAUUUUCUGGCAUCCUACCCUUUAAUUCUACAAGCCAUCGUUCUAUCUUCAGUUGUUCUGUAUCAUUAUUGCCCUCAAUGGAGAUUUCAUAGAAAUAGAAACCGUCAGAGUCCCUUUGUACUUAUUUCCUCCAACUCAUUUCAAACGUCGUUUAGAGAUCUUCUAUCCUCUUCGGUCAUUGAUUCCAUUUUUUUAAGGAGCAUCCUCGAUCCAAACCCUCGAUUGUGUCUAUUGUUUUCUUUCCUCAGUCAUCGCAUGCAUCGUAUGAUUUACCUUUCGUCUCACAAAAUAGCAGGUAAAGCUUUUGAAUUUUUGUGCUUUUUUCUUUUAUUUCUUGUACAAUCAUUGUGAUACUCGAUCUGUCCUCAUCUCCUGUUUGGAUUUUUUUUAUGACUAUCAAGGAGUCACCUUCUAUUUUCAGUUUAUGAAACCCUCUUUUCUCAGCCACCGUCACUGCUUGUAGACAUGCUUUCGCCUCUGUAAUGGUUGCAUCGGCUAUAAAAUUGUUCUGGUAAGUGCAUGCUGCUAAUAUAUAUCCCUCGACAUCUUUGAAUAUGAUUCUCGUAACCGAACUUAGCAUGUUUUUAUUAUAUGCCUUAUCGAAAUCACAAUUAACUUUAUUUUCUCUCAGUGGUUUCCAAAUACAAUCGUUUUGUUAUAUAUUUGUUGUUGUUUUUUGAACUAUGUGGUUACUUUCUACCUAGAAUGCUUUGAUAAAUGCAAUUAACCCAAUUGUACUUUGUUUUUCACCUUGAUGGUAAACUUUAUUUCUUUGGUGCCAUACUGCCCAUAGAGAUAUUUGUAGGCAUUUGCAUUGUUCUUCUUCCAUACUAACAAAUAGAUUUGCUAACAAUAACUUCCAGUUUUGGCCUUGGGACUAGGAGAGGCAUCAAUCCCUAUCCCUUGCAGGAUAUUUUUGACAAACAUACAGUCCCAGAAUAUACGGUUCACCGAUUCUUCCAUUGAGUGACAUAGUGGGUAAUCGUUCAUCACCCUCAACUUCUUAGAUUGAAGGUUAUUAAGAGUAGGAAUAUAGUUAUUUAUUACUUUCCAUAUUGUAAAUUUGAUCUUGCUCGCAAUUUGUAAGUUCCAUAGUCUGGUGUAGAAGUUCUAUAAAAUCAUCGGUUGUAGCGUUACUUCCUUUUGCAUUUGUGUUGUACCUUCUUUAAACAAUCACUUGUAUCAUCUUUUUGCUGAGUACACUCCUGUAUUAUCACCCUUCCAAACCCCGAUGUCCUUGAUAUCGACUCCAGCAAUUGGAAUGGUAUGAAUUAUGUUUGCUUGCUCCUCGUCAAAAAGCUUUCUUAGGACUUCUAACCUCCAGGUGAUUUGUUCAUAAUUAAUUAAGUUUGCUACUAUUGUGAAGUUGAUAUUAAUAUUCUGUCAUGUUAUUUUUACAUGUCUAGGCCCUGGAGGCCAAUCUUUAUUCCAUAUAUUGAUUGAUUUGCCAUUUCUUACCCUUCAUCCUAUGCUUGCCUCAAAAAGUCCUCUCAAGCACCAUAUGCUUCUCCAGGUAAAUGGCAGGUGAGAUCCUAAACUUGCAUUAAAAAAAUUCACUAUUUGGGUAAUAUUUUGCUUUCAUAACAUGAGCAAAUAAGCAUUCUAGAUUCAUUAUUAAUUUCCACCCCUGUUAUGCGAGCAAAGCAAUAUUAAAUUUAGCAAAAUCUCUAAAACCUAAUCCUUAUUGCACUUUCGGUUUGCACACCUCCCUCUACUUACACCAAUGGAUCCCCUUCCUUGUUUUGGAAUUUCUCCACUAGAAUUUACUAAUAAUGUUUUCUAACUCACGACAAAGGGUAAUAGGCAAUAAGAAACAUUGCAUCGUAUAAACUGGUAUGGCUUGUAAAACUGACUUAAGAAAGACUUAUUUACCUCCAAGCAAUUAUUGCUGAAUACUCCAGUUUUCAAUGUGUCUAGAGAAUUAGUCUUUAAAAUUUGCAAACUCUGAUUUUUUCUGUCUUCCUAUCAUGGUUGGAAGACCUAAAUAUUUUUUCGAAUUACUUGAAAUUCUUACUCCAAGAGAGUUCCAAUCUAUUCCUUAUAAUCUCUCUGCACAUUACUACUAAAGUAAAUCAGUGACUUUUCAUAAUUGAUUAACUAGCCCAAAACCUCUUCGUACUUGUUUAAUAUUGAUUUAAUAGCCUUUGCCCCCUCCAUACUUGCUUCCCCGAAUAGAAUGCUAUCAUCCAAGAAAACUAGAUGAGUUAACAAUAGUCCAUGAUAAACAUGUUAAUUUGCAAAUUUUUUAUGAUUAAUUUGGUUUAUUUUUGAACUAAACCCUGCUAAUUAAGUGAUUUUAUGAUUUAAACUUGUCAGGGAUGCAAUUGGACAAAAACAAGCUAAAAGGGGCCAAAUUGAAACACAAUCGAAAUAGGGCCAAAUCAAAAAGGGUGGAGGAAGCCAAGGACACAUCAAAUAUUUUGACUUUAUAAAAGCCAAAAAUAGGAAAAUCUUAUUUUAUUUUAUUUAUUUUUAUUUUAUUUUUGAUUUUACAAUAAAUUAGUUUAGGCUAAAUCUAGUAAACCCUAUGUAUAUAAAUAGGGACUUUAUGUUCUUAGGAAAUCAUCCAUUAAUUUUUGUAUUCCUACUUUCAUUUGGAAUUGAACUAUUUUCUUUUCUCUUUCAAUUUGAUGUGGGAAUUUCGUUCAUUUUAUUUCAAUUUCUUUGUUCUUUCUAAAUUCCUCCAAUUGCUUUCUAACCCCUUUUAUUCCCCAAUUUCUUCUAUUAUCAUACAGAUUCAAUCACCUUCCACAACCUACAAGCAUGAAUAAAUUCAUGCUUCACUAAAAUUUUAACUUAGCCUUGGGUCGGUGUUCUUUCCAGUCGGGAAUCGUGAGAUACGAAUUCCUGCUAAAAAUUCGUCCAAUCGAUAUUCAUUUUUUUCCUAAGUGUCAGAAUUGACAACUCAUCUCUUAAAGUUAACUCGAUUACAAGUCAAAAAGUGCAUGUUGGUUUGGAGUCGUGUUAGUUGACAAUUGGAGAAACGAGUCGGUCGUGCUGUAUUCGAAUAUCUGAGAACAAAUUGAGAAAGAAGUGAUCAGGUUUAAACGACCCAUGCAGUUGAGGCCGUUAAGUCAAGUUGGGUUCUUCAAAAUGAAAUGCUGCCAGAAUCUUGAAUCGGGAACACGUGUGUCUCAGUUAGAUAAUUGGUAAGGGUUGGUUUGCAGGUCGUACCGGAACCAGCUACUAGAGGAGGAAUUGGUGGUUAGGACGUUCGUAACUGCUGUAACUAGCUUAUCGGUUGGAGGAGAAGAUUAAUUUUUGAAGAUCGAUUCUUGAUACGAAAUUUACCGAGUCUAAGGCUAAGACUUAUUUUAUCUGUCUACAUAAGUCUUAAUUUAUUUCCAGUUUACAUUUAUUUUCAAUUGUAGUCAACCGUUUAUUUAAGCUGAUUAGAUUAUUUACUUUCUUAAAUAUUCUCAAAUUCCCUCGAUUUAAUUGUUUAUUUUUAGCAGGUAUGUUUGGAGUUGUGGGCACGACUCUUAACACAAUGCUUGACGAGACGAAUAUUCUGCUCAUAAGUGGACACAGAAGUUGAUUGCGAUAUCCAAUCCCUAUGGACUCGACCCUACUACCACUCUUUAUUACAAUUUAGAGUUGUUUCUGGAGGAAUUAUUUUUGGUGGUUUCGACGCCCAUCAAAUUUUGGCGCCAUUACCGAGGAUUGGAGAUAUUAUUCUAAUUUUUGUUUGUUUACCUUAUGACCAGAUCAGAAUUGGGAACUCUAGAAUUUGAACUAGAAAUUGAGAAAUUCGCCCGAGAAAUGUGGAAAGAACCCAUUCGAUGCGGUAAAUGGCCAAAUCCUAGGUUCGAAACUAUAUCGUAUACUGAAGAAAUUUUCUCGUUUGACGAACCAAACGAGAUGGCUGAACAGACAAUACGCCAACUCGUUGCGGCACCCGAUGAACAACAACGUUUAUGUAUAACCUAUCCGAUAGGAGAAAUGCCGUUCGAGUUAAAAUCUAGUUUGAUUCACUUAUUACCCACCUUUCGUAGAUUAUAGAAUGAAAACCCGUACACCCACCUUAAGGGAUUCCAUAUGGUGUGCACAAGCAUAAAGCCUUAGGGAGUAACCGAAGACCAAAUCAAACUUUGCGCUUUUCCUUUUCACUAGCCUACUUUGCUAGAAGGUGGCUAUUUUAUUUGCCUCCGGGAUUUGUCAAUACAUGGUCUGACAUGUCUCGUUUGUUUCUUGACAGGUUUUUCCCUGUAGUUCGAGCGGCCGAACUAAGGAGAGAUAUUGUGGGAAUCCGUCAGAUAGAGACUGAAUUGCUCUACGAUUACUAGGAGAGAUACAAAAAGUUGUGUGCAAGUUACCCACAACAUGGACUAUUGAGCAGUCACUCUUGUAGUAUUUCUAUGAGAGAUUACUCUCGAUGGAAAUGAAGAUGAUUGAUGCUGCAAGUGGGGGGCACUCGUUAAUAUGAUGCCUCAAAGAGCGAGAGAGUUGAUUUCAACCAUGGCUGCUAACUUUCAACAAUUCUAACCAGCCAUAGAACUUACGAGACAGGUUCAUAGGUUAAGUUCUUUAUCUCUAGAAGAUAAAAUUGAUAAGCUGACUAAUGUUGUUCAAACUUUGCUUACAGAUAAAAUGAGCCCAGCACGGUUGUACGAAAUUUGAGCUAAGCCAGACCACCUGACGGACUCCCAUCCGAUUUUAUAUGAGGAAUUUGACAAAACAAGCGAAUGCUAUUGAGAACUUUCCAAGACCGCCCUAUAGGCGCUAUGACCACUACUCAAACUCAUAUAAUAUGGGGUGGAAAGUCACCCAACUCUCAGUAAUGGGACGAAUCUGCAGUUCAAUCAACCAUACCAACAAAGGCCGCCUAAGAAUCAACAGAUACUACCCGCAAAGUCAUCUUUGGAAGCCAUUGUAGAAAGUCUAGCCAACAGUACUAAGAAAUUCCAACAAAAAAAUAACAUGCAUUUGUAGGAGUUGGACAAGCAAGUGAGUAAACUCGUGCUUACGGUUAGCCAUUUGGAGUCCCAAGGUAAGCUGCUAUCCCAAACUGAGCCAAACCCUCGACACAAUGCAAGUGCUAUGACACUGAGCAGUAGGAAGGUUUUGGAGCCCAUACCUGACACAAGUCACGGCCACGACACUAGUCGCGCCCACGACUCUAGUCAAGAUAGAGAGAAACUUGACAUGGAGGGUUCAGUAGAGUCAGCACCUCAAAAAUCAUUUGUAGUACCACAUCCGUUUCUUAGAAGACUUGUCCAGUGCAAGAAGGAGCGAGAUGAGGAGAUCCUAGACAUCUUUCGAAAGGUGGAAAUCAACAUACCUCUUCUUGAUGCGAUUAAGCAGAUCCUACGAUAUGCAAAAUUCAUAAAAGAGUUAUGCAAGAGUAAAAGGAAGCUUUUGGGCAAUGAAAGGGCAAGUGUCAGAGACAAUGUCUUCGCCGUUCUGCAACGAAAAAUAUCGCCCAAAUGUAAUGACCAAGUUUUGUUUUUCAUAUAUUGUAAAAUAGGUAGUGUCGGUAUUAAAAAAGUAAUGUGUGACUUAGGUGCAUCAAUUAAUGUUAUGUCUUUGUUAAUUUAUAAACUACUUCACGUGGGUUCUUUAAAGGAAACAGGUGUGAUUAUCCAGCUUGUAGAUAGAUCUGUAGUGCAACUAGAAGGAGUAUUGGAGGACAUUCUUGUAAAGGUAAACGAGCUAAUAUUUCCUGCAAAUUUCUACAUUAUCAAUAUGCAAGAGAUAAUUCGGUCAAUUCAUCUAACAUACUUCUCGGAAGGCCAUUUUUGAGUACCGCACAAACAAAGAUUGAUGUACAAAGUGGGAUACUAACUAUGGAGUUCGAUGGGGAAGUGGUGAAAUUCAAUGUCUAUGAGGCCAUGAACCGCCCUAGCAUGAUUUCUAAUAUUUCUAAUAUUGAUGUAAUCGAUCCUUUAACUAAAUUUACAUUUAUAAUAUCAUGACGAAGAUAAAUUACGAAUUUUUCUUUUCAAAAGUUUAGACUUUGAUUCCAUGAAGAAACUAGAGUGGAUAACCUUUGAAGAAACUGUUCAGGAAAUAGUGGCUCAUAUGGAGGUAUCGCAAUUACAGAAAAAUUUAGGUAAAAAUUUUGAAUUAUCUCCUUCACAGACUAAACUUAUACGAUCUCUUUUACAGGCUCCAGAGUUGGAGCUCAAACCCCUUCUAGGCCACUUGAAGUAUACUUUUCUCAGUAAAGGAAAUACCUUACCAGUAAUAAUCUCGAGUAAACUCUCGAUGGUAGAAGAGGAAAACUUGGUACAAGUUCAUAGGGACUAUAAAGAGGUAAUUGGAUGGACGAUAGUCGACAUUAAGGGGUUGAGCCCCUUGACUUGCAUACACAAAAUUCAAGUUGUCGAUAAUGCUAUUCCCAGAAAGGGAAGCUCAAAGGCAUCUCAAUCCGCCUAUGAUGGAAGUGGUGAGAAAAAAGGUCUAAAAGCUACUUGACACCGGGAUGAUCUAUCCCAUCUUUGACAGUAAUUGGGUUAGCCCAGUCCAUGUAGUACUGAAAAAGAUCGGCGUAACCGUAAUUGAGAAUUCAGCAGGUGAAAUGGUUCCCACUCAGGUCCAAAACGGGUGGAGAAUCUGCAUCGAUUAUAGGAAGUUAAAUUCCUUAACUUAGAAAGAUCACUUUCCACUUCCUUUUAUUGACCAGAUGUUAGAACGUUUAGCUAGAAAGUGUCAUUAUUGUUGUCUGGAUGGUUACUCGGGUUUUUUUCCAGAUCUUAGUAGUACUGGAGGAUCAAGAAAAGAUGAUGUUUACGUGUCUAUUUGGCAUAUUCGCUUACAGACGGAUGCUGUUCAAACUUUGUAAUGUACCAGCUACAUUUCAAAGGUGUAUGGUAAGUAUAUUUUCCGACUACAUCGAGAAAAUAAUUAAGAUAUUCAUGGAUAACUUUACUGUAUAUGUUGAGUCCUUCGAGGUAUGUUUGUCAAAUCUUGCAAAAAUUUUGGAAAGAUGCUUAGAAUUUAAUCUUGUUCUAAAUUAUGAGAAAUGCCAUUUCAUGGUAAACAAGGGAUUAGUUCUAGGUCAUACCAUUUCUGCUGAGGGAAUUUUUGUCGAUAAAGCAAAAAUCGACAUCAUUAACUCACUACCAUACCCUACAACUGUGAGGGAGAUUCGUUCUUUCCUUGGUCAUGCAGGUUUCUAAAGGCUGUUCAUUAAGGACUUUUUGAAAAUUGCGCCACCACUUUGCAAUCUCUUACAGAAGGACAAGGAAUUCGAGUUUGACCAAUCAUGCAGAUAUGCGUUUGACAUGCUCAAAAAUAAGCUCAUUUCGGCACUUAUCGUUUAACCACCAAAUUGGAAUUAUCCUUUCAAAAUAAUGUGCGAUGCUAGUGACCAUAGUGUAGGAGCAGUCCUUGGACAAAGAAUCGAGAAAGAACCGCACGUCAUCUCCUAUGCUUCUAAAACUUUGGAUGCUGGCCAAAGUAAUUAUUCAACCACUGAAAAAGAGUUUCUAGCUAUAGUCUUUGCCUUAGAAAAGUUUCGUUCGUAUUUAUUAGGAACUAAGAUUGUGGUUUUUUCUGAUCAUGUAACUCUUAAAUAACUGAUCGGGAAGAAGGAAGUAAAACCAAGACUUAUAAGGUGGAUAAUAAUUUUGCAGGAGUUCAAUCUCGAAAUAAAGGAUAAAAAAGGACGUGAAAAUUUGGUAGCUGACCAUCUAAGCCGAAUACCUCCAUCGAAGGACGUCACACCACUUAAAGAUGAUUUUUUGGACGAAAGUCUGCUUACUACUCAGACAAUUUUUCCUUGUACGUAGACAUGGAGAAUUACCUUGCCACAGGUAUGGUCUCUUCUAACUUAUCGCAUUCUGAAAAAGAUAAUAUCAAAUGCGGAUCGCAAUACUACAUUUGGGACGACCCCUACCUGUGGAAAUACUGUUCCGAUCAGGUAAUUUGACGGUGCGUUCCAGAAACUGAGGUAAAAUCAAUUUUAUCUUUUUGUCAUUCUUAUGCAUGUGGUGGAAAUUUUGGCCCUAAACAAACUGAACAUAAAAUGCUUGAAUAUGGACAAUAUUGGCCACAUAUUUUUUGAUAUGCGUAUUUGUUCUGUAAAACAUGCGAAAAGUGCCAAAAGGUAGGAAACCUAAGUCGAAAAAAUGAAAUGCCUCUAACCUUGGUACAUGUUUGUGAAAUAUUUGAUAUAUGGGGCAUAGAUUUUAUGGGACCUUUUGUCUCGUCUUAUGGUAACAUCUAUACUUUUCUUGUAGUUGAUUAUGUUUCGAAGUGGGUGGAAGCAAAAGCCACUCAUCCUGCUGAUGUAAAAAUGGUAGUUGAUUUUCUAAAGAGUUAUAUUUUUUCCAGGUUUGGCACACCAUGAGCAUUGAUUAGCGAUCGUGGAUGCAUUACUGCAAUAAGAUAAUCGACACGCUCUUGAAGAAAUAUGGGGUAGUGCAACGAGUCACUAUGGCUUAUCACCCUCAAUCAAACAGACAAGUGAAAGUGUCGAACCGAGAAAUCAAGUUGAUUUUAGAGAAGACCGUCAAGCCAAGUAGAAAAGAUUGGAGUUUGCGACUAAACGAUGCACUAUGGGUGUACUGAACAACUUAUAAAUGACCCAUAGGUAUGUCUCCUUAUCGACUAAUUUUUGAUAAGCUGUGCCAUCUCCCUAUUGAACUAGAACAUAAGGUGUUUUGGGCAGUCAAGCAAUGCAACAUGGAGUUGGAAGCUGUAGGAAAGCAUCAUAAGUUACAUAUCCAGAAACUUGAGAAAAUUCGACGAGAAGCGUAUGAGAGUACCCAAAUUUAUAAAGAUAAGAUCAAAGCAUAUCAUGACCAAAAGAUAACCCAUAAACAAUUUAUGGUAGGACAAAAAAUAUUACUUUAAGACCCUACAUUAAGAAUUUUUGCAGGUAAGCUGUAACACCUCAAACCUGGCCAAGACGUUAUGGCCGAAUCUGGCGUGCCAUAUUGAAGUUAAAAGUCCUCGUUUCCGUUUUAGUGUUCUAAUAAACCGUAUUUGUUACAUUUAACCAAGUGAAUGGAAGCUGUGCACCAGGUAGGUAUCCAAAAACAGAGGAGGUGAGCCAUGAAGGUUGCUUAAGUACCAAGCUCUUCGGUUGGAUCCAAUCCUAGACAUGCCCACAACCAUUGCCACACUUGGAUAAAACGAGUUGAAAUUUAUUUAAGGGAUAUCUUUGGUAAACCGAAAAAUCAUGAUGUUGCAUUAUUUUGAAAACGAGUAUCAUUUUGAAAACGCGCCCUAAGUCUAGCCCAUUUGUAUUGUCAUCAGUAAAAUGUAAAGUUAUCGAAAAAUAAAAUAAUCCCAGAAAGAGAAUAAAGUUAAAAUGGCCUUAUUACAACCUAAAAAUAAAUAUUAAAUAAGAUAACUAGAGAAAACCAGAUACUUAUUUCAAAGUCCAAUAGCGAUCACCGUGGCCACUCUGAAUCCCCUCCGGCUCCAAGUCCCCAAAUCAAGGCUCACCUGCAAGGUUAAGGAAGGGGGUAAGUUUGGAAACUCACUGUGCAACAAGCCCCUUUCAGAUCCCAAAACAAUAUCAGCCUGCUGGGCCUAAGCCCAAAUUCAAUCUCAGCAUAUACUAGGCCGAAGCCUUUACAUUAUUCAUACCACUGGGCCGAAGCCUUUACAUUAUUCAUACCACUGGGCCGAAGCCUUUUCAUUAUUCAUAUCACUGGGCCGAAGCCUUUACUGUAAACGGUAUGGCCCAUAGGCCCAAAUCAAUACCACAUGCACUAUUAAUGGAUGUAUGCAAGCCCAUUUGGGGAGACUACUCAACCCACCAAUCGCUACUCUCCACCCGUACCAACCAAGCUCUCCAUGUGGGGAAUAACUCAACCCACCCAACCAAACUCUCCACUGGUAGCAUAGCUACUUUAUCAUAUAACUGGAGGCCUAGCCUCUUGUAAUAACUGGGGCAAACCCUUUUUGAUAAACUGGGGCAAAGCCCUUUUCGGUAAACUGGGGCAUAGCCCUUUUGCACUUCCUCCAUUCAUACAAAACCCAACCCAUGCAUAUAUGUAUAUAUCAUGGCAUAUCAUGUGCAUAUCAUGUGCAUAUCAUGGCAUAUUAAGUACAAAUCAGUAUCACAUGCAUCUCAAUUAUAACAUAACCCUAGGGGUAUAAUAGUCAUUUUCACUUAGGGGCAAAAAGGUCAUUUUCACAUUAUAAGGGUAAUUUCGUAAUUUUACCAAAAUAUUAGGGUUUUCCAUGUUCAUUAACAAUUAUCAAUAACUCCAAGUGUUUAAACAAUGAUUUUAACGCACUUUAUCAAAUUCGGGCUUUUGGGCCCAAAACCCCUAAUGGGCCCUACGAAUGCCGAUCUAGCCCUUUAAGCCCUCAUAAUCCAAAUUUUACAUCAGAUCCACUCCUUUAACAAGCAGUAUAUCCAAGUUCCAUUUUCUAUCAAAUUUACCCCAAAUGGGCUUAGAUGCCCAUUGGGCCCGAUUUUAGCCCCUCGAGGCCCAACUUAUCGUGAUGCUGAAAAUCGUGCUCUUACAUUUUCCAAUGAUCCCGAUCAUCAACUUAGCGAAUCUAACUAACCUAUGAGCGGUCGCAUGCUCACGAGUCCUCAAAAUGCCAGAAUUUUGGCAUUUCGGCUUUUCGGCAUAUAUCGAUUUAAGCUACGAAAGAGGGUUCGUUACACACCUGUUUUGUGACGUUCACCAACGAAGUCUCCCACGGCAACCUAAAAUUAUCCAUCUCCAUUUUUAGUGUACAAAUCAUACUUAUCAAACCCAAAAUCUACCUUACCACAUUCGGCCAAAGAUCCCUAAUGGCCAUAGUUAACUUACCUUCACAGGGUCUGACGAUAUGAUCCAAGCUUAUCCAAAUCGAUACCCCACGCCUUGCUGCUCCUCCAACGUAACUAUUCCACUAUACAAACCAUAAAAAUCAAAUGAAGAAGCCCAAUAAGGCCUAUAUCUCUAAUCGGCCACCUCCCUAAACUAUAGGGGUUUCGGCUUUUGUCAACAGUUACUACUGAAUCGAUUUAGUGUACGAAUACUUACCACAGUCUCCCUUCUUGAACCGUUUAAAGCUUAGAAGAUAAAGGGAUGGGCCACCAAAAAGUGAAAGGAAAAAGAGGGUUGCUGGUCAAUAAAGAAUCGGCACCACCAAGCUUCACAGGUUCGGCUUUUGCGGCUUUUCGGUAGAAGUGGAGGUAAGGAAAGAAGUAGUAGAUGAACGGAAGGGAGUAGUGAACUGGUUUUGGAAAAAGAAAAGGAAGAAAGAUGAUGGAUGGAAGGGUGGUAGGUCAGCUAAAGAAGAAGAAAGAAAAAGAAAAAACUAAUCCUAUGGUUUACAAAGAAGAAAACGACACAACAAGCUCCCAAAUGCCGAAAUACUAACCUAAUACCCCUCUGCUGAAAUCUCUUCUCUAAUCCCCUCUAUUCGGCCAAUUCUAUCUCUCUCUCAAAUCCCUAAAAUCUCUCCCCUUAUCACUCCUUAAUCAAUGCGUUUGACUGAUUCAAACUCUCUCCCAUAGAGUUCCAUUCGGCUACAACUCCUGCAUGCUCAAAGCAUAAAAAUAACAUCACAUUUUCCAUCACAGGGAAUCGAACCCAGGUUUCCCCCAACCACUUACACGCCACCUUUUUAGCACCCUAGUGGCAUCAUUUAGCCACUCUACUAGAGGCUCUUUUGUGAUACAUUCUACCCACAAUUUUUAAUAAGACCACCUAUCCAAAGCCCCUAACUUCUUAAGUCUAAAAUUCAAGAAUUCUACCGGGUUUUGGCCAUCAUAUGGGCCUUCCAUAAGCCCAUUUACACACUCCAAUUAUGAAUUUCACAACCAAAUAUCAAAUUUUAAAAACUUUACCAAAAUCUCGAGAAUCACAAAAAAACCCGAAAAUCAGGAUGUUACAUAAGCUUCGGACUAAGUGGUUAAGGCCUUUUAUUGUUACUCACGUGUUUCCACAUGGUGCAAUUGAGGAUAAAAGCAAAGAAUCCAGAAAAAUUUUCAAGGUCAACGGACAGCGAUUAAAGCCUUUUUACGAAAAUUUUCAAGUCACCUUGGUUGAGGAAGUAGUCCUCGAAGAGCCAGCUGAAUAAAUUUCCAGGUCGUCGAGCUAACGACGUUAAACAAAAAACGCUUUUUAGGAGGCAACCCAAACUUAUUUUCAUUUAUUUAUUUUUUGGUUUAAUAAAAAUUUAGGUUGUAAAUAAAUUCCUAUUUAAUCCAGAUAAUUUGAUGUUUUCAGGAACAUAAUGGAGGUUAUGAAUUUUCAAAAAGACGGAUAACAAUGGUUGUUUGGGCACAACAUGCCAAAUGGUGACAAAUUUGUACUUACAAAUUUAUAAAAAAACCACAAUAUCCCUAAAUAAACUGCAAAAAAAAAAAACCCAAAUCCAAAUACUCACCACCCAAUCCAUUAACCUAACCAAACCCAAUACCCACUUGACCCACUUACCUAAAUACCAAAUUACCCAUCAAAACCCACAUCCAAUACCCAUCCAUCAACCCAAUCCCAAGUUAACUCACCUACCCAAUACCUAAACACCACACAACCCAAUUAACCUACCUACCCAAAUAAACCAAAUUACCCACAAAUAAACCCAUUACCCAAUAAGCCUAACCGAAAAAAAAAACAAAAAUAAAAAAUUAAACACCCCAAUCCCUAAUUCCCUAACUCUUUUUCUCCAUCUUCUCCACCUCUUCCAAUCCAAACGGCCACCCCAAUGAGAACUCGUCGUCGACGAAGUCCAACCCUAGUCAAAAUAGAAUGUCCAGAUAGUAACCUCGUUGCUCCCGAAAGGUCGAUUACUGAUCCUCAACCUACUUUUCCUUUACUGACAUAUUAUGCAGGUAAUUCGGAUGAGGCUCUAACUUCUAACGACCAUGUUGAGGUUCCUUUGACCGCGAGAGAAUGUGUCUCUCUACGCCAAACAUAGUUUACUCGAAGUCGUCAACAAUCGACAUGUGAGCCACUGACACCACCGAACAGCAGUACUGACGCUGCUGAAAACUCAAGUCCAUCUGACUUGCCUAAUGAAUACUUUUGACCAAUAUGAAAUAGUCAAUGUAAUAGAUGAGGUCGUGAAAACACUAUUCCUACAGAAGGACGAUUGCAAGGGUUUUUGAACUUUUCGACCUUGGAGUAUCACGCAAGAUACAAUGAAAUCCAACAAUAUCUGCUCCCGGUUUGUAAGCAAAUUGAUCUCUCUACUCUUGAUAUGUUGAAUAUUCACGAUGCUGUGAUUAGUUAUUUUGAUGCUAUUGGUUGGAAUUCAUUUGCUAAUAUUUCUUGUCCUUCAUAUUAUGAGUUGAUCUAUGAAUUCUACACCACAUUUAGCUUCAAUAUUAGUGCAUUACAGACUAUUGAAACAUAAAGCAUUAUCUGUUUUUGUUUGCUUGGUAAGGACUUUCGAAUGUCUAUUUCCAAAUUUAACAUUACCAUGGGUUUCGUCGACCCUACCAAUAUUCCAUCCGAUUCAUAUCAUACUGCUCUGUUAGAUAUACCAAGUAACUUUGAUGCUAAACAUGUUUUUUGUGUUUUAACUCAUUCUAAUCAGCAUUAUAAUCCAAAAACAACUAAAGACUUAUUGGUGCAUGAACCGACUUUAAGAUAUAUUCACCGAUUUUUAGCCUUUAGUUUUUUAGGUAGAAAUAAUUCAUCAUCUGUUCUAUCUAAAACUGAACUGUUCUUUUUGUGGUGUAUGCAUUCUGGUUUUAAGGUUAAUUUUGGAUAUUGGUUUGCACGGAAUUUUCAUGUCGUUUUACGACGUAAUCGUCCACUAAUACUUGGGUUAUAUAUUAUGAAUUUAGCAUAUCGACUUUUUCCCUCUGAAAUUGAUUUCUCGUCCUUAACAUAUGCAUAUAGUACAGACAGCUUAGAUAAAUAUUUUUUGGAUUCUAUGGGAUUACUUGUCGGCACCCCUCCUUCGAGUUAUUUUGUUCAUCUAGGUUCACGGACUACUCGUGGAAAUAUGAUUUUUCACCAACGUCCACACAUCAAUGCUAGGGAGCAAGAGAAGCAACCUCUUUCUGUGGAGGCACGUUUAAGUCGGAUCGAAGCUCGACUUGAAACAAUGGAAAACCAAGUCUCCAUAAUCCUUGACAUCCUACAAAGCCAUUACCCCCAACUCCAACAAAAUCAUUAAAAGACACAUAUGGAGUAUUCUGAACUUUUCUUUUACAUGUUAUUAAGAGCUGCUAUUUUUAUUUCAUUUAACACCCACACAUCAAUGCUAGGGAGCAAGAGAAGCAACCUCUGUCUGUGGAGGCACGUUUAAGUCGGAUCGAAGCUCGACUUGGAACAAUGGAAAACCAAGUCUCCACAAUCCUUGACAUCCUACAAAGCCAUUACCCCCAACUCCGACAAAGUCAUUAAAAGACACAUAGGGAGUAUUUUGAACUUUUCUUUUACAUGUUAUUAAGAGCUGCUAUUUUUAUUUCAGUUAACACUUGCUGGAGGACAAGAAAAGACUAAAUGGGGGGGGAAUUGAAAUUGAUGGUAAAUAUGCAUGAUUUUUGCAUUUUUGCUGCAUGUUUUUUUUUGCAUGUGUUUAAUCUUACGUUGAAUCCAUUCGAUAGCUUAUUUGACAUUGAGCCUUUAAUCUCAUACUUAGUCAAUUUGGACAAUUGGGCAAAUUUUUUUUAUUUUAAAUGUUCAAGUGUAUAGAUUAGUCGACAUUUGUGUUUUAAGGUUGAUAUAUGUAGCUAGAUUUUUCGUAUAAAUUGAUUGUCUCGAAAAAUAUUUUCUUGUGCAUAAAAAAUUAAUAAAAUAAAAAAUUUUAGGCUAGAGUUAUGAGUGAAGUUUCGAAAACGUGACUAAAUUUAGUAACCGGGAUAAGGUGCUUGGGUUGUCAUCUUAUCUCACGUAAAAAGGUUCGAGUGACAAGUCGAUAACUUACAAACAUUCUGCUAACCGAGCCUUCAAAAGUUAAAUAAAAAAAGAAAUAAUAAUAAUAAAGACUGUUUGAACUGAGUAACUGGGAUAGGGUGCUUGGGUUGUCAUCCUAGUUCACAUAAAAAGGUUUGACCAUGUCUGAAAAAAUUCUUUUUAAUUAAUAAUGCCUUGUAAAUUUUUUAUUCAAACUCAAUUUAGUGAAAUUAUUUAGUUUACAUAUUCCAAUUUUAAGACGCUUGUUGAUUAAACUAUAAUUCUGAGCAUUUGUUUAUUUUUGCCUAUGUUGUUUGCGUUGAUUAUGGAUGUGGAAAAGAGGCUCGAUUUGUAAUAAAUUGUCGAAUAAUUUCUGGUGUUUGAGGACAAGCAUGAUCUAAGUAGGGAGAUUUGAUAAACAUGUUAAUUUGCAUAUUUUUUGGGAUUAAUUUGGUUUAUUUUUGAACUGAACCCUGCUAAUUAAGUGAUUUUAUGAUUUAAACUUGUCAGGGAUGCAAUUGGACAAAAAUAAGCUAAAAGGGGCCAAAUUGAAACACAAUCAUUGAAAUAGGGA